GAUGAACGCUGGCGGCGUGCCUAAUACAUGCAAGUCGAGCGAACAGACGAGGAGCUUGCUCCUCUGACGUUAGCGGCGGACGGGUGAGUAACACGUGGAUACCCUACCUAUAAGACUGGGAUAACUUCGGGAAACCGGAGCUAAUACCGGAUAAUAUAUUGAACCGCAUUGUUCAAUAGUGAAAGACGGUUUUGCUGUCACUUAUAGAUGGAUCCGCGCCGCAUUAGCUAGUUGGUAAGGUAACGGCUUACCAAGGCAACGAUGCGUAGCCGACCUGAGAGGGUGAUCGGCCACACUGGAACUGAGACACGGUCCAGACUCCUACGGGAGGCAGCAGUAGGGAAUCUUCCGCAAUGGGCGAAAGCCUGACGGAGCAACGCCGCGUGAGUGAUGAAGGUCUUCGGAUCGUAAAACUCUGUUAUUAGGGAAGAACAAAUGUGUAAGUAACUAUGCACGUCUUGACGGUACCUAAUCAGAAAGCCACGGCUAACUACGUG
This 497-nucleotide ribosomal RNA is filed under the name uncultured bacterium. RNAcentral's name for it is "partial 16S ribosomal RNA". It matches the Rfam family "Bacterial small subunit ribosomal RNA", at positions 28 to 507 of the family's 1533-position model. The record is from RNAcentral.